Long non-coding RNA from Rhineura floridana, 231 nucleotides. RefSeq lists it as uncharacterized. The record is from RefSeq and is a predicted model, not a curated record. Lineage: Eukaryota; Metazoa; Chordata; Lepidosauria; Squamata; Rhineuridae. The transcript is spliced from 3 exons.
GGUGACUGUUCUUCAUGUAUGGAACUCCUGACUUCACGAGAUCCAAGAGUCCAAGCAUCUUCUGGAAGUUCCUUUUCAUUUGGAGGUUUGGACAGUGACAGUCAAAAAUUGGGCCUUUUCAACAAUCACCUUAUGUUUUCCUCUUUCGUAUAGAGUGAUCUGCAAACAAUGCAACUUACAUGGGCAUUCUUCUUAUUGAGGAUUGGGCUUGGUGUGAUUCCCUGAAAGAGA